GGCGACGUGGCCGAGUGGUUCAGGCAAGGGCCUGCAAAGCCCUGUACAGGGGUUCGAUUCCCCUCGUCGCCUCCA
RNAcentral lists this transfer RNA (75 nucleotides) under Ilumatobacteraceae bacterium. Its description in RNAcentral is "tRNA-Cys". It matches the Rfam family "tRNA". Rfam says of the family: Transfer RNA (tRNA) molecules are approximately 80 nucleotides in length. Their secondary structure includes four short double-helical elements and three loops (D, anti-codon, and T loops). Lineage: Bacteria; Bacillati; Actinomycetota; Acidimicrobiia; Acidimicrobiales; Ilumatobacteraceae. RNAcentral also lists the same sequence under 3 other names. The record is from RNAcentral.